RNAcentral lists this ribosomal RNA (498 nucleotides) under uncultured bacterium. RNAcentral describes it as "bacterial SSU rRNA". It matches the Rfam family "Bacterial small subunit ribosomal RNA", at positions 899 to 1397 of the family's 1533-position model. The record is from RNAcentral.
ACUCAAAUGAAUUGACGGGGGCCCGCACAAGCAGUGGAGUAUGUGGUUUAAUUCGAAGCAACGCGAAGAACCUUACCAGGGCUUGACAUAUACCUUAAUUAGUGGGAAACUGCUAAGCUUUUCGGAGAAGGUAUACAGGUGGUGCAUGGUUGUCGUCAGCUCGUGUCGUGAGAUGUUGGGUUAAGUCCCGCAACGAGCGCAACCCCUGUGAUUAGUUGCUAACACGAUAAGGUGAGGACUCUAAUCAGACUGCCGGUGAUAAAUCGGAGGAAGGUGGGGACGAUGUCAAAUCAUCAUGCCCUUUAUGUCCUGGGCAACACACGUACUACAAUGGUCGUUACAAAGAGAAACGAAGCAGAGAUGCAGAGUAAAACUGAAAAAAGCGAUCUCAGUUCGGAUUGAAGGCUGAAAUUCGCCUUCAUGAAGUUGGAAUUGCUAGUAAUGGUAGGUCAGCAUACUACCGUGAAUACGUUCCCGGGCCUUGCACACACCGCCCGU